RNAcentral lists this ribosomal RNA (2103 nucleotides) under Triticum aestivum (bread wheat). RNAcentral describes it as "partial small subunit ribosomal RNA". The record is from RNAcentral. Lineage: Eukaryota; Viridiplantae; Streptophyta; Magnoliopsida; Poales; Poaceae.
AUGGAAGACGACAGAGACACGCUCCGGAUACUUGUGGCCACCGACUGCCAUCUGGGCUACAUGGAGAAGGACGAGAUACGGAGGUUUGAUUCGUUCGAGGCUUUUGAGGAGAUAUGCUCGUUGGCAAAGCAGAAGGAGGUAGACUUUGUGCUUCUUGGUGGUGACCUGUUCCAUGAGAACAAGCCUUCGCGUUCAACCCUGGUGAAGACCAUUGAGAUUCUACGCCGCUACUGCCUGAAUGACCUGCCAGUGAAGUUCCAGGUUGUCAGUGAUCAGACAGUCAACUUCCCAAACAGAUUUGGCCACGUAAACUAUGAAGACCCACAUUUCAAUGUUGGCUUGCCUGUGUUCACUAUCCAUGGAAAUCAUGAUGAUCCUGCUGGGGUGGAUAACCUCUCUGCUAUUGAUAUCCUUUCGGCUUGCAAUCUUGUAAAUUAUUUUGGGAAGAUGGACCUUGGCGGCUCUGGUGUUGGUCAAAUAGCUGUCCAUCCAGUACUUGUUAAAAAGGGUACAACUACAGUUGCACUAUAUGGCCUUGGGAACAUUAGAGAUGAGCGACUGAACAGAAUGUUUCAGACACCACAUUCAGUACAAUGGAUGCGACCUGAAAGUCAAGAGGGUCUAUCAGUAUCUGACUGGUUCAAUAUCCUGGUACUUCAUCAGAACAGGAUAAAGACAAACCCAAAAAGUGCCAUCAACGAGCAUUUCUUACCACGUUUUCUAGACUUCGUGGUAUGGGGCCAUGAGCAUGAAUGCCUUAUUGACCCCCAGGAGGUCCCUGGAAUGGGUUUUCACAUUACGCAGCCAGGCUCAUCAGUUGCAACCUCCCUGAUUGAUGGUGAAGCAAAACCAAAGCAUGUUCUUUUGUUAGAAAUCAAGGGAAACCAGUAUAGACCAAACAAAAUACCUUUGAUGACCGUUAGACCUUUUGAGUAUGCUGAGGUUGUGUUGAAAGAUGAAGCAGAUGUCGACCCUAACGAUCAGGCCUCUGUUCUUGAACAUUUGGAUAAAAUUGUAAGAAAUCUGAUCGAAAAGAGUAGUCAACCAACAGCCAGUAGAUCUGAAGCCAAACUUCCAUUAGUUCGAAUCAAGGUAGAUUACUCUGGGUUUUCAACAAUAAACCCACAGCGAUUUGGUCAGAAGUAUGUCGGCAAGGUUGCGAACCCCCAAGAUAUUCUCAUUUUCUCAAAAGCAGCAAAGAAGCGCCAGACUACUACAGGAGAGAAUAUCGAUGAGUCCGAGAAACUUCGUCCUGAGGAACUAAACCAACAAACUAUUGAAGCUUUGGUUGCAGAAAAUAACUUGAAAAUGGAGAUUCUUCCAGUUGACGACUUGGACAUUGCAUUGCAUGACUUUGUCAGCAAGGAUGACAAGACCGCAUUCUAUGCCUGUUUGCAGCGAAAUCUGGAUGAAACAAGGAAGAAACUGAAUUCCGAAGCAGAGAAAUUUAAAAUCGAGGAAGAAGAUAUAAUAGUCAAAGUUGGCGAGUGCAUGCAGGAACGUGUAAAGGAAAUAUCUCUACGCUCCAAGGGAGACACAGGGCUCGCAUCAAGCACUCAAAAUUUGCAGGAUACUAUUAGAGGUAAAUCUGUAGCAGCUGAAAGUAGCAUGAACACUUUUAGUGACGACGAGGACACCAGGGAGUUGCUUCUUGGUACCAGAUCAACCAGGUCUACAGCUGGAUUUACCAGACCCUCUAAAGAUGCUACUGGUGCUGCUAGAGGUGGAGCUUCCAAAAGAGGCAGGGGGAAAGGCUCAUUGAAACAAACCACCCUUAGUUUCAGUCAAUCAAGGUCAAGUGCUGCUAUUCGCAGUGAGGAGGUGGACUCUUCCUCAGAUGAGGACGCAGCGAACGAAGUAUAUGAAGUUGUUGAAAAUUCAGAUCCCGAGGACAGUUUCCCACAAAGUGGACGGAAAAGGCCGGCUCCUAGAGGCAGAGGUCGGGCCAGAGGCACUACCACUGCGAAAAGAGGGAGGAAAGCCGACACUGGUUCCAUGCCAAGCAUGGUGAUGAGCAAAGACGAUGACAGCGACGAAGAUGACAAGCCUAAGAAACCUCCGCCUCGGGUCACGAGGAACUACGGAGCCGUCAAGAGGAGAUGA